UGGUGGCGAUAGCGAAGAGGUCACACCCGUUCCCAUGCCGAACACGGAAGUUAAGCUCUUCAGCGCCGAUGGUAGUUGGGGGAUUCCCCCUGUGAGAGUAGGACGCCGCCA
This 111-nucleotide ribosomal RNA is filed under the name Bacillus paralicheniformis. The record is from RNAcentral. RNAcentral also lists the same sequence under 1 other name. Lineage: Bacteria; Bacillati; Bacillota; Bacilli; Caryophanales; Bacillaceae.